UAGCAUAUCAAUAAGCGGAGGAAAAGAAACCAACAGGGAUUGCCUUAGUAACGGCGAGUGAAGCGGCAACAGCCCAGAUUUGAAAUCUGACUUUCGGGUCCGACUUGUAAUCUGCAGAUGAGUCUUCCGGCAACGCGCCGUCCAAGUGCCCUGGAACGGGCCGCCGGAGAGGGUGAGAGCCCCGUACCGACGCGCGCCGCGCCUCUGUGAAGCUCAUUCGAAGAGUCGAGUAGUUUGGAAAUGCUGCUCUAAUUGUGGGGUAAAUCUCCCAUAAGGCUAAAUACCGGCCAGAGACCGAUAGCGCACAAGUAGCGUGAGCGAAAGAUGAAAAGAGCCUUGAACAAGGGCGUCAAACAGCAUGUGAAAUUGUUAUGGGGGAAGCGCUCGAUGCCAGACGUGGUGGCGGUUGGUUACCCGGCGUUCUUCGCCGGCGCACUCUGCCGUCGCCAGGCCAGCAUCAGUUCGGACCGAGGCUUACCGCCGGCGGGAAUGUGGCUCCCCUCGGGGAGUGUUAUAGCCCGUCGGUACCGUCUCGGACCGGACUGAGGACCGCGCUUUUGCCCGGAUGCUGGCGUAAUGGCCUUUAGCGACCCGUCUUGAAACACGGACCAAGGAGUUGACCUAGCGUGCGAGUGUUUGGGUGCAAAGCCCUUACGCGCAGUGAAAGCGAAUGCAGGUGGGAGCUUCGGCGCACCAUCGACCGAUCCUGAAGUUUACGGAUGGAUUUGAGUAAGAGCACGUUGGGUCUGACCCGAAAGAAGGUGAACUAUGCAUGAAUAGGGUGAAGCCAGAGGAAACUCUGGUGGAGGCUCGCAGCGGUUCUGACGUGCAAAUCGAUCGUCAAAUUUGUGCAUGGGGGCGAAAGACCAAUCGAACCUUCUAGUAGCUGGUUCCUGCCGAAGU
Molecule: ribosomal RNA, 903 nt
Filed under: Phaeoisaria fasciculata
Lineage: Eukaryota; Fungi; Ascomycota; Sordariomycetes; Pleurotheciales; Pleurotheciaceae
Description: LSU rRNA
Rfam family: Eukaryotic large subunit ribosomal RNA
Source: RNAcentral